GUCUUGGUGGCUCAGUUGGCAGAGCGCUGGAGUGUCGAUCCAGAGGCCGUGAGUUCAAGUCUCACCCAAGGCA
RNAcentral lists this transfer RNA (73 nucleotides) under Leguminivora glycinivorella. Its description in RNAcentral is "tRNA-Asp". It matches the Rfam family "tRNA". Rfam says of the family: Transfer RNA (tRNA) molecules are approximately 80 nucleotides in length. The record is from RNAcentral. Lineage: Eukaryota; Metazoa; Arthropoda; Insecta; Lepidoptera; Tortricidae.